GUUGUUGACCGGGCAGAGCUUCUAUUUUCCGAAGUACUCAAUGCUUUGAGUCAAAUCGCAGAGAAAAGAUCUAGUGCAGGACCAGCAAACAGCGCCAUGAAACUACCUGAAUCAAGAGGCCAAAUUGGAGAACUAGAAAUAAUGUUAAAAAAGGAGAAGGCAGAAUUUGAGGAGUCGCUCCAAAAAGCUUUGAACAGAGAAGCAAAAAAGGCUCAGCCUGUUAUUGACAUUCUUGAGAUCAAUAGAUUGCGACGGCAGUUGCUUUUCCAAUCUUAUAUGUGGGACCACCCCGCCUAAUUUAUGCAGCCAAUUUAGAUAACAACAGUCUUCAGGAUAAUUUGAAUAGGUCAAGUUCAGGACAUGAGGAAAAACCCAUAGCUAAUACUGAGCAGCUCAAUGAGAUGAAUGUGAAUGCCAAGCCAGGAAAAGGUUUUAGUAGCUGCAACUCUCUGCCUGUAGAUACAUUGUUGCUUAAAAUCCCUGAUCAGCAAGGAGGACUUGGCAGUAAUCCUGACCACUCUGACACAGCCCAUGAAAAAGAUAAGAGUCAAGGUUCUAAUCAGGGAAAGGAAGACCACACUAAGCUUUCAGCUGUCAUUCCCAUCUGUGAUCAACCCAGCAGCCUGGAAUACAGUGGAAAUGUUCGCAGGACCGUUUCUGAGGGACAGGUUCCUAUCAUGUCAAAUUUAUCUGAUACCCUUGAUGCUGCAUGGACAGGAGAGAAUCUCCUAGGAGUUGGAAUAUCAAAGGAUGAUAUCAGUGUGCUUUCUGAUUCAGCUGUUGCAGAUUUGUCAACCACAUCUACAGUGCUGGAAGGGUUGGAUUUGUACAA
RNAcentral lists this unclassified non-coding RNA (832 nucleotides) under Hevea brasiliensis (rubber tree). Lineage: Eukaryota; Viridiplantae; Streptophyta; Magnoliopsida; Malpighiales; Euphorbiaceae. The record is from RNAcentral.